This 119-nucleotide ribosomal RNA is filed under the name Echinostoma caproni. The record is from RNAcentral. Lineage: Eukaryota; Metazoa; Platyhelminthes; Trematoda; Plagiorchiida; Echinostomatidae.
GGCCGCGGCCAUAUCAUGUUGUCAACACCUGUUUUCGUUUGAUCACCGAAGUUAAGCAAUGUCGGGCCGGGUUGGUAUUUGCAGGGGUGACCGGCUGAGAAUACCGGGUGUUACAGCCG